Saccostrea cuccullata (small rock oyster) is the source of this 427-nucleotide long non-coding RNA. RefSeq lists it as uncharacterized. The transcript is spliced from 2 exons. The record is from RefSeq and is a predicted model, not a curated record. Lineage: Eukaryota; Metazoa; Mollusca; Bivalvia; Ostreida; Ostreidae.
GGCAACCCCCUACUUUGCCUCUCUGGAAUGCUCUGAAAGAAAGAUAACUCUAACUUCUGGUCAUUGCCACGUGUGAACUUUGGAGAAGUAAACAUGUCCCAAGAAGACGAGAAAUAUAUGGACGAGUUUGACAAAUACAACAUUGAACAGGACAAGUAUGUCCACGGCAAAAGCGGGAAAGGGCGCACCAAGCAUGAGGCGGAGCAGAACAAGCACCCGGGAGAACACACGCGCAAAAUCGCCGAACAUCUUAUAAACAGCGCACAUAAAUCGGAAAAGGAACCUACAGGCCCUGUACAUACCAAAAAAUAGCAUGUCAUGAAUUAUUACAGAUGAAUAAAACGGACUGAACCAUGGAAUAAAAGAGAGAAUAAAGAAUCAACGGAAAAAGAAAUGACUUUUGAUUGUAACUAGCAGCAAAGCUGUU